GGGGGGGGAUUCAGACCCCCAUUUCUUCUAUAUUUUGGGUGGUUUACCCCAUUUCUUCUAUAUUUUGGGUGGUUUUCCCCCUUCUCCAGGCCCGGCGGCCGUGGCGGAGGUUGCCCCCGGCUCAGUGGAGAUCACAGAUUUCCAGCGGGUGCGUUUCCGUAAGAAUUCCCAUUCUCCAGCUGAUCGCUAACGAGGGGGGGGGACUGACCCCCCCUCCCAACACCCUUUGGGGCUCUGUCUGUCCUGUCUGUCCAUCCGUCCGUCCUUCCCGUCUCCGCUUC
RNAcentral lists this long non-coding RNA (281 nucleotides) under Calidris pugnax (ruff). RNAcentral describes it as "lncRNA (ENSCPUG00000019040.1)". Lineage: Eukaryota; Metazoa; Chordata; Aves; Charadriiformes; Scolopacidae. The record is from RNAcentral.